This 228-nucleotide long non-coding RNA is filed under the name Hordeum vulgare. Its description in RNAcentral is "long non-coding RNA (HVUL_LNC009538)". The record is from RNAcentral. Lineage: Eukaryota; Viridiplantae; Streptophyta; Magnoliopsida; Poales; Poaceae.
UAGAUCGCACAAGGAAGGUCAGUGGGACAACAUGGUGGAUUUGGAGGAGACGAGGCUCUCCUUUUGUUUGGGAUGUACUAAAGGGAAUGUAACCGAUUGCGUAAUUAGAGGAGAGGCAUACAGAUUUAAUAUGUGAAUAGUGGGCAGUUUGUUCGCUGGGUGAUGGAAGCGAGAAGCUCUCAUCCGUGUGAUUGAAUAACAAAUCGACGAUGCAAUGUUGGUCUGACG